This 200-nucleotide ribosomal RNA is filed under the name uncultured bacterium. Its description in RNAcentral is "partial 16S ribosomal RNA". It matches the Rfam family "Bacterial small subunit ribosomal RNA", at positions 8 to 216 of the family's 1533-position model. The record is from RNAcentral.
AGAGUUUGAUCCUGGCUCAGAUUGAACGCUAGCGGCAUGCUUAACACAUGCAAGUCGAACGGUAACAGGUCUAGCUUGCUAGAUGCUGACGAGUGGCGGACGGGUGAGUAACGCGUAGGAAUCUACCUUAUAGUGGGGGAUAACCUGGGGAAACCCAGGCUAAUACCGCAUAAGCCCUAAGGGGGAAAGCGUGGGACCGC